This 502-nucleotide ribosomal RNA is filed under the name uncultured Glomeromycotina. RNAcentral's name for it is "partial small subunit ribosomal RNA". It matches the Rfam family "Eukaryotic small subunit ribosomal RNA", at positions 591 to 1092 of the family's 1831-position model. Lineage: Eukaryota; Fungi; Glomeromycota. The record is from RNAcentral.
CCAAUAGCGUAUAUUAAAGUUGUUGCAGUUAAAAAGCUCGUAGUUGAAUGUCGGGGUCUGUCCAUUGGUCGGGCUUUAUUGUCCGUACUGGUGUGAUGGGUUCCUACCUUCUGAAUAACCAGCAUGCCAUUAAUUUGGUGCGUCGGGGAAGCAGAGCUAUUACCUUGAAAAAAUUAGAGUGCUUAAAGCAGGCUAGUGCUUGAAUAGAUUAGCAUGGAAUAAUAAAAUAGGACGGAAUGGUUCUAUUUUGUUGGUUUCUAGGAUCACCGUAAGUAUUAAUAGGGAUAGUUGGGGGCAUUAGUAUUCAAUGGUCAGAGGUGAAAUUCUUGGAUUUAUUGAAGACUAACUUCUGCGAAAGCAUUUGCCAAGGAUGUUUUCAUUAAUCAAGAACGAAAGUUAGGGGAUCGAAGACGAUCAGAUACCGUCGUAGUCUUAACCAUAAACUAUGCCGACUAGGGAUCGGACGAUGUUAAUUUUUUAAUGACUCGUUCGGCGCCUUACG